GACGAACGCUGGCGGCGUGCCUAACACAUGCAAGUCGAACGGAAAGGCCCUGCUUUUUUGCGGUGCUCGAGUGGCGAACGGGUGAGUAACACGUGAGUAACCGGCCCUUCACUUUGGGAUAACUUCAGGAAACUGGGGCUAAUCCCGUAUAGGAGCUCCUGCUGCAUGGUGGGGGUGGGAUAGUUUCGGCGGUUGGGGAUGGACGCGCGGCUGAUCGGCUUGCUGGUGGGGUAGUGGCUUACCAAGGCUUUGACGGGUAGGCGGCCUGAGAGGGUGGCCGGCCACAAUGGGACUGAGAUACGGCCCAGACUCCUACGGGAGGCAGCGGUGGGGAAUAUUGCACAAUGGGCGGGAGCCUGAUGCAGCAACGCCGCGUGCGGGAUGACGGCCUUCGGGUUGUAAACCGCAUUCGCCUGUGACGAAGCGUGAGUGACGGUAAUGGGUAAAGAAGCACCGGCUAACUACGUG
Molecule: ribosomal RNA, 468 nt
Filed under: uncultured bacterium
Lineage: Bacteria
Description: partial 16S ribosomal RNA
Rfam family: Bacterial small subunit ribosomal RNA
Source: RNAcentral